This 2359-nucleotide long non-coding RNA is filed under the name Homo sapiens (human). RNAcentral's name for it is "HSALNT0300541". The record is from RNAcentral. Lineage: Eukaryota; Metazoa; Chordata; Mammalia; Primates; Hominidae.
CCUUUCUGUCUGGUUCUGUUGAACGCAAACGACAUCUGCUUCCCACUCCCUGAAACUUCUCUUCAGGGUUCCCGUCAUUGGCUCAAGCUAUGGGAGAGGGCGUGUGAGACCCAGGCCUUCCGGAGGCUUCCAGAGUUAAAGCACUCCCACGGACAGGAGACAGAACUGCCUGUGGAGAAUUGCAUUAUAGCCAAGCGCCGGGAUAUAUAUUUAUCUGUGCCUGACAUUCUCAUCUCUUUUUAAAGGAAAAGCCACACAUUUGGCCAAAAGAUGAAGUGGAAAAAAUGUACUGUUGAACAAAUAUCCAGGAUGGUUGCUCAGAAUGUAUAAAAUGAUGAACUGUGUGGAAAAAUCAUGCCUGUGGCAAAUUGUCAGCAGGCUAUAUUUGGGGGUCCGAAUGCAGGGCCCCUGCCAACUGAGUUCACAGAGCCUUAGUGUUUUUCCACUUCUAUUUAUAGCGAUGCACACAUUCACACACAAAAAAUGCAGGGGACAUUGGACUUCGUUUUUAAAUGAUGAAAAUGUUCGAAAUGUAUCUGGUUUCAGCACGUGAGAGCCGCUCUGCUGUCUACGAUCAGCCUUGCUUACUGAAGAAGGGAUUAAUCAACGUGGGGAAAACAACGUAAUAGGAUCCUUUGGGAAUCUGAAAGUCUGAAAACAACUUUUUUCUCUAUUUCCUUUUUAAAAUGUAAUUCACUUCAACAAAACUUUAUUGAGCACCAACGAUGCAAAAUGUUGAAAUGGACAUCUGAUUGUUGUCUCUCAGCCUCCAUUCCUCCUGCCCCUUUUCCAGCAGCCAUUGCUUCUAGUUGGAGAACCACGUGUUUCCAGUGAGGGAGAUUCUUCUUUCCAGCUUCAGAUGUUGAACACAAGACCUGGCUUGGCCAAUCAGGGCAAGCCAUCCCCCUGGGCACAGUGAUUGGCUCAGGCCCACCCCGAGCUGGACCAAUCAGAGUGAAGAGUGAGACUUUGGCCAGGAAUGCUGAAACAAAGACUGAGCCUUAGUGUUGGAUUUGAAGGAAGAAGCCCCAGGAGCUGCUGAGAGCUGUUUUAUAACCAUGAGCUCAAACUUUAUAGCAAGACAAAGCCAGAAUGUUCAGGUGAAGAAGCAGAGAAUGGCUGUGUGAGUUUCCUAGGCUGUCGGAACAGAGAGCCACAAACUGGGUGUCUUCAAUCCAUACAAAUGUAAUUAUCUCACAGUUCUGGAAGCUGGAAGUCUGAAAUCAAGGUGUCAGCGGGGCUAUGCUUCCUCUAAAGCCUCUAGCCAUGUAAAAUGUGCCUCCUUCGUCUUCUCAUUCUGCCAUGAUUGUAAGUUUCCUGAGGUCUCCCCAGCCACGCUUCCUGAACAGCCUGCGGAACGUUAAUCGCCAGACAAUCCAGAUGAUGCUCCUGCUACAAUGACGCAAUGAUACCAACCCGUCUCUCAAGAACGCCCCCAAAAAUUAAAGUUUUCUUUUUCCAAGGUGCCCAUGCCACCCCCUGUGUCACGCCUGAAGUAGUUAUUGAGCCCAGUCCCAAGGCACAAGACCACUUGUGCCAGCAGCCAGCAGCGUGCAUCAGCAAGACAGCAGAAGCAGGAAGACAGCCUGCUGGAAGACACUUACCCUGGCCGGAAGACAUGUACCCCUGAAGAUGGAGAAAGAGGCCUUCCGGGUACUACGUAGCAGUCACGUCAGACCGGGACACUUCCUGUUUAGAGAGGACUAUAAAACUCCGGUCCGGUAAUCACUUGGGGCUGACGCCAUUUUAGGCCUCAUCCCGCCUGCACCCAGGCACUCAUUAAAACAGCGUGUUGCCCCACACUGCCUCGUGUUGUCUGUUGGUGCGCUCUCGGGGUUCAAACCGAUACAAGAACCUUUCAAAUGGUAGUAAGAUUAAAGGUUUUUACUAAGUUAUUAAUAACAAAAAAGGCACAGAUCUUAAAUGUGCAGUUAUGAAUUUUGGCAAUUGUAUACAUUCAUGUAAUCACUACCCACAACAAAAAUAGAAUGUUUCCACCACCACAAAAAGUUUGCAACACCCCUGUACCUCUUUCUAGUGCAUUUCCAAUCAUGUCCUCAUACCUACCUACCCCACAACCAUUUUUUAAUCUCUUCCAGAGCUAACGCUUAAUACAUUGAAUUUUACAUAAUCUUAGGAUAGACUGUCCCACAUAAAGGAGACUAUCUGCAAUAAUUUAUGUUGGAAGAAUAAGAUAUUGAUGUCAAUUAAUACAUUUUGUGUCCUGGUUUAAAAAUGCUCCUACUAUUAAUUAAAAUUUUAAAGACAUUUUCUUGUGAAAGUAUAAAGGGAUACUUUUUUCUAUUUUGAACAUUAUGAGUUCAAAAGUUCAUUCUGAUAGAAAAUUUUAUUUUGUGUG